GGCUCAGAUUGAACGCUGGCGGCAUGCUUUACACAUGCAAGUCGAACGGCAGCGCGGGGCAACCUGGCGGCGAGUGGCGAACGGGUGAGUAAUAUAUCGGAACGUACCCAAGAGUGGGGGAUAACGUAGCGAAAGUUACGCUAAUACCGCAUACGAUCUAUGGAUGAAAGCAGGGGACCGCAAGGCCUUGUGCUCCUGGAGCGGCCGAUAUCUGAUUAGCUAGUUGGUGAGGUAAAGGCUCACCAAGGCGACGAUCAGUAGCUGGUCUGAGAGGACGACCAGCCACACUGGAACUGAGACACGGUCCAGACUCCUACGGGAGGCAGCAGUGGGGAAUUUUGGACAAUGGGCGCAAGCCUGAUCCAGCAAUGCCGCGUGAGUGAAGAAGGCCUUCGGGUUGUAAAGCUCUUUUGUCAGGGAAGAAACGGC
Molecule: ribosomal RNA, 429 nt
Filed under: Massilia sp.
Lineage: Bacteria; Pseudomonadati; Pseudomonadota; Betaproteobacteria; Burkholderiales; Oxalobacteraceae
Description: bacterial SSU rRNA
Rfam family: Bacterial small subunit ribosomal RNA
Source: RNAcentral